AGUCGAACGAACUCUGGUAUUGAUUGGUGCUUGCAUCAUGAUUUACAUUUGAGUGAGUGGCGAACUGGUGAGUAACACGUGGGAAACCUGCCCAGAAGCGGGGGAUAACACCUGGAAACAGAUGCUAAUACCGCAUAACAACUUGGACCGCAUGGUCCGAGCUUGAAAGAUGGCUUCGGCUAUCACUUUUGGAUGGUCCCGCGGCGUAUUAGCUAGAUGGUGGGGUAACGGCUCACCAUGGCAAUGAUACGUAGCCGACCUGAGAGGGUAAUCGGCCACAUUGGGACUGAGACACGGCCCAAACUCCUACGGGAGGCAGCAGUAGGGAAUCUUCCACAAUGGACGAAAGUCUGAUGGAGCAACGCCGCGUGAGUGAAGAAGGGUUUCGGCUCGUAAAACUCUGUUGUUAAAGAAGAACAUAUCUGAGAGUAACUGUUCAGGUAUUGACGGUAUUUAACCAGAAAGCCACGGCUAACUACGUGCCAGCAGCCGCGGUAAUACGUAGGUGGCAAGCGUUGUCCGGAUUUAUUGGGCGUAAAGCGAGCGCAGGCGGUUUUUUAAGUCUGAUGUGAAAGCCUUCGGCUCAACCGAAGAAGUGCAUCGGAAACUGGGAAACUUGAGUGCAGAAGAGGACAGUGGAACUCCAUGUGUAGCGGUGAAAUGCGUAGAUAUAUGGAAGAACACCAGUGGCGAAGGCGGCUGUCUGGUCUGUAACUGACGCUGAGGCUCGAAAGUAUGGGUAGCAAACAGGAUUAGAUACCCUGGUAGUCCAUACCGUAAACGAUGAAUGCUAAGUGUUGGAGGGUUUCCGCCCUUCAGUGCUGCAGCUAACGCAUUAAGCAUUCCGCCUGGGGAGUACGGCCGCAAGGCUGAAACUCAAAGGAAUUGACGGGGGCCCGCACAAGCGGUGGAGCAUGUGGUUUAAUUCGAAGCUACGCGAAGAACCUUACCAGGUCUUGACAUACUAUGCAAAUCUAAGAGAUUAGACGUUCCCUUCGGGGACAUGGAUACAGGUGGUGCAUGGUUGUCGUCAGCUCGUGUCGUGAGAUGUUGGGUUAAGUCCCGCAACGAGCGCAACCCUUAUUAUCAGUUGCCAGCAUUAAGUUGGGCACUCUGGUGAGACUGCCGGUGACAAACCGGAGGAAGGUGGGGAUGACGUCAAAUCAUCAUGCCCCUUAUGACCUGGGCUACACACGUGCUACAAUGGAUGGUACAACGAGUUGCGAACUCGCGAGAGUAAGCUAAUCUCUUAAAGCCAUUCUCAGUUCGGAUUGUAGGCUGCAACUCGCCUACAUGAAGUCGGAAUCGCUAGUAAUCGCGGAUCAGCAUGCCGCGGUGAAUACGUUCCCGGGCCUUGUACACACCGCCCGUCACACCAUGAGAGUUUGUAACACCCAAAGUCGGUGGGGUAACCUUUU
RNAcentral lists this ribosomal RNA (1418 nucleotides) under Lactiplantibacillus plantarum. RNAcentral's name for it is "bacterial SSU rRNA". It matches the Rfam family "Bacterial small subunit ribosomal RNA". The record is from RNAcentral. Lineage: Bacteria; Bacillati; Bacillota; Bacilli; Lactobacillales; Lactobacillaceae.